Non-coding RNA from Paramuricea clavata, 338 nucleotides. Lineage: Eukaryota; Metazoa; Cnidaria; Anthozoa; Malacalcyonacea; Plexauridae. The record is from the annotation of a GenBank genome assembly.
AUAUAUGAUUUGAGUCUUUGAGAGCGCCAUAGCAGUUUAUAUACUAUUGGCUGUUCGAAGUUGUGGCAAUUUAUGCAGCUGUCAAUUUAUUACUUGCCUUCAAAUGAGACUUAAAGUUUGCAGUUAGCGGUCUGCCGUAAACGUCAAUCGUAGGGUCCAGGGCCUUUUUUAACUAUUAAGUAUUAUGUUCGUUCGCUAAAAAGCGCGCGAAAAUUCCAUAUUUUCUAAAAUAUGUAACAUCGUCCAGUGCUUUCUUUCGAGCUUUUGAAUACAGCCAAUUCAACAAAGGUUGUCCUUUGCAAACCUUAAACUCUUAAGCGCGCAAAGCUUAAUGGGAG